This 512-nucleotide ribosomal RNA is filed under the name uncultured bacterium. RNAcentral's name for it is "bacterial SSU rRNA". It matches the Rfam family "Bacterial small subunit ribosomal RNA", at positions 16 to 518 of the family's 1533-position model. The record is from RNAcentral.
GUUAUGGCUCAGGAUGAACGCUAGCUACAGGCUUAACACAUGCAAGUCGAGGGGCAGCAUGAUCGAAGCUUGCUUGAUUGAUGGCGACCGGCGCACGGGUGAGUAACGCGUAUCCAACCUUCCCUAUACUAGAGGAUAGCCCGGCGAAAGUCGGAUUAAUACUCUAUGUUAUUCAAUGCGGACAUCUAAGUUGAAUCAAAGAUUUAUCGGUAUAGGAUGGGGGAUGCGUCUGAUUAGGUUGUUGGCGGGGUAACGGCCCACCAAGCCCGCGAUCAGUAGGGUUCUGAGAGGAAGGUCCCCCACAUUGGAACUGAGACACGGUCCAAACUCCUACGGGAGGCAGCAGUGAGGAAUAUUGGUCAAUGGACGAGAGUCUGAACCAGCCAAGUAGCGUGCAGGAUGACGGCCCUAUGGGUUGUAAACUGCUUUUAUACAGGGAUAAAGUGAGCCACGUGUGGCUUUUUGUAGGUACUGUAUGAAUAAGGACCGGCUAAUUCCGUGCCAGCCGCCGC